UGAGAAUCUGAUAAAAACUGUGAACCCUUAAGGUCCCUUUGUAAACCCACCCUUCAUGAUUGACAGAUACAUUGCUGGGGAACCAGGCUGACUUCACCUUGUGCUGAAGACCAGAAGGACCAAGGCAAAGUGCCCAAGAGGGCCAAGGACCAGUUGGCAUCAAAGAUACUAGUUCCACUGGGGUCAGGAGGACCAGUCUAAGCCAGAAUGGAUAUCAGUUACAAAAAUGGGCUAAGUUGUGCAUGACAGCCAGGUGAAUAAACUCCUAGAGAGGCAAACACCCAAUGAAUGAUCACACAGUUCUUGAUGAUCACUGUGACCCAGUGAGCCAGUGUUAAGGGAGAUUAAUCUAGAAGUUUGCACCACUGGUAACUGAAAGGAUAAGAAUCAUCCAUCUCAGAAAGAUUUUGGGAAAAAACAUUCUGGAUAUUAUUGUUGGCAAGAAACUUCAUAUGAAUCUUCCAUGUGAUAUGGCUCCCUUCAAAU
Molecule: long non-coding RNA, 486 nt
Filed under: Gorilla gorilla gorilla (western lowland gorilla)
Lineage: Eukaryota; Metazoa; Chordata; Mammalia; Primates; Hominidae
Description: lncRNA (ENSGGOG00000044381.1)
Source: RNAcentral